GCCAUGGGCCUGUUAAAGUCGGAGUUAUUAGGCCAUGUGCUUUCCGUGUGUUGUCAUUGUGGGAACGCCACCAGAGCCAACGUCUGUGCAGGGCAGGGGAAGUGUUAAGUGAAGAAUAAAAACAAGUCCAAAUUCCCAUUUGGAAACUGCAUGCCUCAACAAAUACCACUGUUCGUAGCAAGUUAUUAGCUUUGUGGUUGUAAUUCUGGUCCUUUUCAGAAGGGAGGUGGAAAAAAGCAUGUAAAAGAGAUUUUUGAUACUUCACGGUAUAUUGACUGAACAGCAGAAAGCUCCCCAGUCUGCUCGUUCCCCUUUAUGGCUUGGAUGUGCUUGUGGUAACACUUCUUUCUUGUUCUUUAAGCCACCUACAGAUGAACUUGUACAAAAAAUCUCUUCUUUCAAACAGCAAAGUUUUCUCUACUGCAGGCGUUAUGUGGGCCUGCUGAUGGGCAUGAGCUGGUCUUCAUCCACUGGGUACCAAGGAAGGAGAGGCAGUGCAUCUCUGGGCUCUUGAAUUGUUAAUGUUAACUCCUACUGAACUCAGCUUCGUUCUCUAAUGGAGAGACAGCAUUCUGAUCUGUUAAAGAUAUGUUCUUUGGGAAUGGAAGUCAUAACAACGUACAACUCAUUACAGAGGGACGGAAAAGCAUUAAUGCAGAAGACAGAUGGUAAAUAAUAGUACAAGGUAUUUAUCUUAUUAUUUCUUAGGUAUAGUUGUAUGGAGUGAUAGUUAUAGAAUUAUGCAAUUGAUUUAAGUUCUUCAGUGAAGCAUUAACUGUUUUGUCAUCUUCAGAGCUCUUGCUUUUCUUUUAC
This 813-nucleotide long non-coding RNA is filed under the name Phasianus colchicus (ring-necked pheasant). Its description in RNAcentral is "lncRNA (ENSPCLG00000021099.1)". The record is from RNAcentral. Lineage: Eukaryota; Metazoa; Chordata; Aves; Galliformes; Phasianidae.